RNAcentral lists this small RNA (63 nucleotides) under uncultured Rummeliibacillus sp. RNAcentral's name for it is "Bacillaceae-1 RNA". It matches the Rfam family "Bacillaceae-1 RNA". Lineage: Bacteria; Bacillati; Bacillota; Bacilli; Caryophanales; Caryophanaceae. The record is from RNAcentral.
AGAGGAAGAUAGCCUAAAAGCGCAACAUCGUGUCGCAACGGCUAUCUGACCCAUAUCCUGUGG